CACAUGCAGUCGAACGGUGAACACGGAGCUUGCUCUGUGGGAUCAGUGGCGAACGGGUGAGUAACACGUGAGCAACCUGCCCCUGACUCUGGGAUAAGCGCUGGAAACGGCGUCUAAUACUGGAUAUGUGACGUGACCGCAUGGUCUGCGUCUGGAAAGAAUUUCGGUUGGGGAUGGGCUCGCGGCCUAUCAGCUUGUUGGUGAGGUAAUGGCUCACCAAGGCGUCGACGGGUAGCCGGCCUGAGAGGGUGACCGGCCACACUGGGACUGAGACACGGCCCAGACUCCUACGGGAGGCAGCAGUGGGGAAUAUUGCACAAUGGGCGCAAGCCUGAUGCAGCAACGCCGCGUGAGGGACGACGGCCUUCGGGUUGUAAACCUCUUUUAGCAGGGAAGAAGCGAAAGUGACGGUACCUGCAGAAAAAGCGCCGGCUAACUACGUGCCAGCAGCCGCGGUAAUACGUAGGGCGCAAGCGUUAUCCGGAAUUAUUGGGCGUAAAGAGCUCGUAGGCGGUUUGUCGCGUCUGCUGUGAAAUCCGGAGGCUCAACCUCCGGCCUGCAGUGGGUACGGGCAGACUAGAGUGCGGUAGGGGAGAUUGGAAUUCCUGGUGUAGCGGUGGAAUGCGCAGAUAUCAGGAGGAACACCGAUGGCGAAGGCAGAUCUCUGGGCCGUAACUGACGCUGAGGAGCGAAAGGGUGGGGAGCAAACAGGCUUAGAUACCCUGGUAGUCCACCCCGUAAACGUUGGGAACUAGUUGUGGGGUCCAUUCCACGGAUUCCGUGACGCAGCUAACGCAUUAAGUUCCCCGCCUGGGGAGUACGGCCGCAAGGCUAAAACUCAAAGGAAUUGACGGGGACCCGCACAAGCGGCGGAGCAUGCGGAUUAAUUCGAUGCAACGCGAAGAACCUUACCAAGGCUUGACAUAUACUAGAACGGGCCAGAAAUGGUCAACUCUUUGGACACUCGUAAACAGGUGGUGCAUGGUUGUCGUCAGCUCGUGUCGUGAGAUGUUGGGUUAAGUCCCGCAACGAGCGCAACCCUCGUUCUAUGUUGCCAGCACGUAAUGGUGGGAACUCAUGGGAUACUGCCGGGGUCAACUCGGAGGAAGGUGGGGAUGACGUCAAAUCAUCAUGCCCCUUAUGUCUUGGGCUUCACGCAUGCUACAAUGG
Molecule: ribosomal RNA, 1170 nt
Filed under: Microbacterium maritypicum
Lineage: Bacteria; Bacillati; Actinomycetota; Actinomycetes; Micrococcales; Microbacteriaceae
Description: bacterial SSU rRNA
Rfam family: Bacterial small subunit ribosomal RNA
Source: RNAcentral